GGGAAACAGAGGCAGAAGAGAAAUUACUGAAUUUCUUACUACCUACAGCCUAUUGGCAACAUCCUUGAAACAGGC
Molecule: long non-coding RNA, 75 nt
Organism: Mustela erminea (ermine)
Lineage: Eukaryota; Metazoa; Chordata; Mammalia; Carnivora; Mustelidae
Exons: 3
Source: RefSeq, a predicted model, not a curated record